ACCUGGAAUGCAUGCUGGGUUAGCAGGACCUUCAUGAAUCUGAUGACCACUGAUGCCUUAACAAAUCACCAUGCCUUUGAUGAUAAAGUGGGAGAAGGAAGUCUUUAAUUGCCUUCCAGUUGCCAUCAUGAAGAUCUGUUAUUUACAGCCAACAACUUGCUACCAUCUUUAGGAUUUCACUGAGCCUGAGCAUCUUCUUCCUCCCUUUCUCCAUUCCUGUGUCCCAG
RNAcentral lists this long non-coding RNA (227 nucleotides) under Mustela putorius furo (domestic ferret). RNAcentral describes it as "lncRNA (ENSMPUG00000025295.1)". Lineage: Eukaryota; Metazoa; Chordata; Mammalia; Carnivora; Mustelidae. The record is from RNAcentral.